CGCAGACGCCCCGCAGGCACUCUUCAGAGACAGGUCCUGCCAUCCCAGAGAAUAGCUCUCCAUCCCAAGACAGGCACAGAGUGUGCUCAGAUGAAACUGUGUCCAAAAAGUGCUGCCGGAGGAGAGCGACAAGCGUCAAGCCCCCCUGGUGAGCGUAUCAUCGCCUGGUUCAGAGCCCGCCCAGGGCAAGUGAAAAGCAACGUGCCACAGGACCCUUCCCAGUCACACGUCCCUGUGAGAGGCCUGAGAUCACAAGGAUCGCCGUGGCCUGGAGACACAGACAGAGGGAAAAUCCCCAAACCUGUCUUUUGGAGAGGAGGGAGCGGCAGAUGGCAGGAUCAAGCUGGGACUCUCCACAAGAGGUCACUCGGGGACUUUCUUUGCUCCUAUUUCCUAUGUUGAGGAAAAAUUUGCCCUUUUUUACACUUUCUCUAAAUA
Lemur catta (Ring-tailed lemur) is the source of this 438-nucleotide long non-coding RNA. RefSeq lists it as uncharacterized. NCBI's taxonomy places the organism in Eukaryota, Metazoa, Chordata, Mammalia, Primates, Lemuridae. The record is from RefSeq and is a predicted model, not a curated record. The transcript is spliced from 3 exons.